This 441-nucleotide ribosomal RNA is filed under the name uncultured bacterium. RNAcentral describes it as "partial 16S ribosomal RNA". It matches the Rfam family "Bacterial small subunit ribosomal RNA", at positions 338 to 795 of the family's 1533-position model. The record is from RNAcentral.
CCUACGGGAGGCAGCAGUGGGGAAUAUUGCACAAUGGGGGGAACCCUGAUGCAGCGACGCCGCGUGGGUGAAGGAGUAUUUCUGUAUGUAAAGCCCUAUCAGCAGGGAAGAACAAUGACGUUCCCUGACUCAGCAGCACCGGCUCAAUACGUGCCAGCAGCCGCGGUAAUACGAAUGGUGCAAGCGUUAUCCGUAUUUACUGGGUGUAAAGGGAGCGCAGGCGGCGCGUUAAGCCUGGUGUGAAAGCCCGCGGCCCAACCGCGGGACUGCAUGGGGAACUGGCGAGCUGUGGUGCAGGAGGGGUAGGCGGAAUUCCUAGUGUAGCGGUGAAAUGCGUAGAUAUUAGGAGGAACACCAGUGGCGAAGGCGGCCUACUGGACGGUGACUGACGCUGAGGCUCGAAAGCGUGGGGAGCAAACAGGAUUAGAUACCCCUGUAGUC